RNAcentral lists this ribosomal RNA (253 nucleotides) under uncultured bacterium. RNAcentral describes it as "partial 16S ribosomal RNA". It matches the Rfam family "Bacterial small subunit ribosomal RNA", at positions 524 to 776 of the family's 1533-position model. The record is from RNAcentral.
UACAGGGGGGGCAAGCGUUGUUCGGAAUUACUGGGCGUAAAGGGUCUGUAGGUGGCCAACUAAGUCAGACGUGAAAUCCCUCAGCUUAACUGGGGAACUGCGUCUGAUACUGGAUGGCUUGAGUGUGGGAGAGGAAUGCGGAAUUCCAGGUGUAGCGGUGAAAUGCGUAGAUAUCGGAAGGAACAUCGGUGGCGAAAGCGGCGCGCUGGACCUCUUCUGACGCUGAGGCGCGAAAGCCAGGGGAGCGAACGGG